GCCAUUGGAUUCCAUUUGGCAAUCUUGUACAAUGGUUUCAAGAUGGCGACGGCCAUUUUGAAUCUUGUCUCUCUGACUCUCUGUCAGUGUCAGUGGAAGCGUGGAUUUUGAGAGAAAAGUGACGACAUUAAUGUCCUUUAAUGGGAGUUUUCAGUUUUGAUGCUAGCUACAUUGCUUCGUAGAUGUAUUUAUAUUUGUGAUGGGUUGACGACGGAGAGUGCGAUUAGCUUUUUUUCUACGUAGAUUGAGUAACUCUUGUGCCUUUUUUUAUUUGUCGAUGAAUUUUGAAGCUUAAAGAUUUGGAGCCAUGUUGUCCACCACGUCCAGAAGAGAAGCUGAGUAACAUUUUACAAUUACAAUGUUUGAUUGCAGGCACCUUUUAAAGUAUGGAACUUCACUUCAACCCACGGCCCCCAAUUUUGUGUUUGAGAGUCGACAAUGUGCAGUAGUUUUUCAGCCGGUUUCCAGUUUUGGUGUUAUCCUGGAUUGUGUUGAUAGUCUAUGAUUUACACUGGGUAAACUUUGUGGCCAUCAGAUAUUCAGAUGGUGAAGGAUGUCAUCAAGUUCAGUUGUUGCACGAAGUCUGUGGUGCCGGUGUUAUCCUAGAGUGUGGGACAGUAGAACGAGCUUUACACCCAAAUUAAAGGCAGUCUCUCUCUGUAUUGAUUGACUGAAAUUUGCAUGUUGAUAAAAUUAAUUGAAUGCAGGUUAGAUAUUUAUAUGUGUGAUUAGGUAUGAUAAACAUAUGUACAAACUAAUGUCGAUAAGACCUUGUGUCGAUCGAAGCAUCGAACCUUGUGAAUGUUACACUUCCCAUAAGAAAUAUUAAUUAAAUGUCAACUCAUAUAAUCCAACUUGUUUCUUCAUCUUUUCCAACCUGUUUUCAAACCUACAAGACCCACAUUGCAUGUAAUCAAAUUAAACACAAGUCCCGUAUGUCGAUUAAGUGUUUAAUAAACAGGUGCCGUGUUGCACUGUUGCUCUCUCAAA
This is a long non-coding RNA of Daphnia pulex (common water flea), 990 nucleotides long. RefSeq lists it as uncharacterized. The record is from RefSeq and is a predicted model, not a curated record. Lineage: Eukaryota; Metazoa; Arthropoda; Branchiopoda; Diplostraca; Daphniidae. The transcript is spliced from 2 exons.